This is a non-coding RNA of Meleagris gallopavo (turkey), 993 nucleotides long. The record is from RefSeq and is a predicted model, not a curated record. NCBI's taxonomy places the organism in Eukaryota, Metazoa, Chordata, Aves, Galliformes, Phasianidae.
GAAGAUGAUGAAGAAAGAAAAAAUGUUUUAAGACAAUCAUUGACAGCUCGCAGCUAGAUUAUACUCAACAACUGAAUCAGGAACUGGAUGGCAAAUACAAUUUAUGAUACCAUGUGUUGACCAAGUCCAUCAGAAAUGGUUGAUGUCUCAUCAUCGCAGUUGGAUACUACAGGAUCCACCAAGGUGCCAGAGUAUAGGGGGACUGGAGGUUGAAGUAGCUGCAUGGCAAGCCUUUGGGCCCCAAACUACAGCUGCUCUUAUCUGACAGACCACUAGCAGCUCUCCUGGUACUCUUUGGAGCUUCCCCAUUCACCAUCACCAAUGAGCUGCUUAUAGAUUACGGAUGGUAAGUGGUUCCCCAGGGUCUACAUGGAAAGCACAAGAAUUCAGGACAGCUUUAAAAAUUACAGGAAAGUUACCAGUAGUUUCAAUCUGCUCAGACUUAAGAACAGCAUUUCUCCAAGCAGCAUGGAUCCUCUGUGCUGUCUGUAUUUCUCCAGCUGGUACCACUGUAUCGGUAAGCAUUAAUGUUACUUAUUAGACAUCAGAACGAACCAAAGGCAAGCCAAUCACUUCCUUAAAUCAACAGUGUUUUCAUAGAAUGGUUUAGAUUGGAAAAGACUUUAAAGAUCACUCAGCUCCAACCCCCUGCUGGGAGCUGGUUGCCACCCACCAGCUCAGGCUGCCCAGGGCCCAUCUCCAGGGCUGGGGCAUAUAUCACCUUGAUAUCCCACAGAUAUGGGCACGUGGCUAUUAGGUCUCCCCACAGCCAUUUCUUCUCCAAGCAGAAGCAACUCCAUGUUCUCUGCCUCUUCUCACAAAGUACUGCAGUCUUGUCUGUCCUGGGACCCUCUCCUAAACGCAGUCCAAAGUUAGGAUCCAAGGUUCUUGUGGCACAGAGCCGUCAGGGGCAAAGCCAGGCACAGCAUUCCAGCUUGAACCUUAGAAUUACAAAGUAUAGGAGUGCAGUAACUGCCCUCCAACCACUGGCUG